GCGGAGGAAAAGAAACCAACAGGGAUUGCCUUAGUAACGGCGAGUGAAGCGGCAACAGCUCAAAUUUGAAAGCUGGUCCUUUCAGGGCCCGCGUUGUAAUUUGUAGAGGAUGAUUCGGCAAGGGCUCCCGCCUAAGUUCCCUGGAACGGGACGUCAUAGAGGGUGAGAAUCCCGUAUGCGGUGGGUUGCCUUAGCCAUGUGAAUCUCCUUCGACGAGUCGAGUUGUUUGGGAAUGCAGCUCUAAAUGGGAGGUAAAUUUCUUCUAAAGCUAAAUACUGGCCAGAGACCGAUAGCGCACAAGUAGAGUGAUCGAAAGAUGAAAAGCACUUUGGAAAGAGAGUUAAAAAGUACGUGAAAUUGUUGAAAGGGAAGCGCUUGCAACCAGACUUGUCCGCAGUUGCUCAACCGGUCUCCUGACCGGCUUACUCUUCUGCGGCCAGGCCAGCAUCAGUUCGGGCGGUCGGAUAAAGGCCCCGGGAAUGUAGCUCCUCUCGGGGAGUGUUAUAGCCCGGGGUGGAAUGCGACCAGCCUGGACUGAGGAACUCGCUUCGGCUAGGAUGCUGGCGUAAUGGUUGUAAGCGGCCCGUCUUGAAACACGGACCAAGGAGUCUAACAUCUAUGCGAGUGUUUGGGUGUCAAACCCAUACGCGAAAUGAAAGUGAACGGAGGUGGGAACCCUCACGGGUGCACCAUCGGCCGAUCCUGAUGUCUUCGGAUGGAUUUGAGCAAGAGCAUAGCUGUUGGGACCCGAAAGAUGGUGAACUAUACUUGAAUAGGGUGAAGCCAGAGGAAACUCUGGUGGAGGCUCGCAGCGGUUCUGACGUGCAAAUCGAUCGUCAAAUUUGGGUAUAGGGGCGAAAGACUAAUCGAA
RNAcentral lists this ribosomal RNA (871 nucleotides) under Marasasiomyces karoo. Its description in RNAcentral is "partial 28S large subunit ribosomal RNA". It matches the Rfam family "Eukaryotic large subunit ribosomal RNA", at positions 50 to 939 of the family's 3401-position model. The record is from RNAcentral. Lineage: Eukaryota; Fungi; Ascomycota; Dothideomycetes; Botryosphaeriales; Botryosphaeriaceae.